AAGAACCAACUUUUAGUUUUGUCAAUUUUUUCAAUUGUUUCUUUUGUUUCGAUUUCAUUAAUUUCAGCUCUGAUUUUAAUUAUUUCUUGCCUUCUACUUCUUUUGCUGUUGUUUUGCUCUUCUUUUUCAAGGAUUUUGAGAUGAAGUAUGAGAUCAUUUAUUUGUUGGUUUUUUCUUUUUUUAAGGAAUGAACUCCAAGCAAUGAAUUUUCCUCUUAGAACUGCUUUCAAUGUGUCCCAUAGAUUCCGAUAUGUUGUGUCUGUGUUUUCAUUUAUCUCUAAGAAUUUUUUAAUUUCCUCCUUGAUGUCUUCUAUAACCCAUUGAUCAUUCAGUAACCUAUUGUUCAUUCUCCAAGUGAUGUAUGCUUUUUCCUUCCUUCUUUUAUCGUUGAUUUUCAGUUUCAUUCCAUUAUGAUCAGAUAAGAUGCAUGGUAUUAUCUCUACUCCUUUAUAUUGUCUAAGAGUUGCCCUGUGACAUAAUAUAUGAUCUAUUUUUGAGAAGGAUCCAUGUGCUGCUGAGAAAAAAGUGUAACUGCUUGAUGUUGGGUGGUAUACUCUAUAUAUGUCAAUUAGGUCUAGGUUAUUAAUAGUGUUAUUGAGUUCUAUAGUUUCCUUAUUCAACUUUUGUUUGGAAGAUCUGUCCAGUGGCGAGAGAGGUGUGUUGAAGUCUCCCAUGAUUAUGGUAUGGUGGUCUAUUAGACUCUUGAACUUGAGAAGAGUUUGUUUGACGAACAUAGCUGCACCAUUGUUUGGGGCAUAAAUAUUUAUGAUUGUUAUGUCUUGUUGGUGUAUGGUUCCCUUAAGCAGUAUGUAGUGUCCCUCUUUAUCCCUUUUGAUUAACUUUGGCUUGAAAUCUAUUUUAUUUGAUAUGAGUAUGGACACUCCUGCUUGUUUCCGAAGUCCAUAUGAGUGAUAUGAUUUUUCCCAACCUUUCACCUUCAGCCUAUGUAUGUCUUUUCCUAUCAAAUGCGUCUCCUGUAGGCAGCAUAUUGUUGGGUCUUGUUUUGUGAUCCAUUCUACUAGCCUGUGUCUCUUAAUUGGUGAGUUUAAGCCAUUAACAUUUAGGGUUAUUAUUGAGAUAUGGGUUGUUCUUCCAGCCAUAUUUGUUUAUUUCUGUUACUAAACAUGGUUUGUUUUCCUCUUUGAUUAUUUCCCCCCCCCCUUUACUGUCCUACCUCCCACUGUUGGUUUUCAUUGUUAUUUUCCAUUUCCUCUUCCUGUAAUGCUUUGGCGAGGAUGUUUUGAAGAGAUGGUUUUCUAGCUGCGAAUUCUUUAAACUUUUGUUUAUCGUGGAAGGUUUUAAUUUCAUCUUCCAUCCUGAAGCUUAAUUUCGCUGGAUACACAAUUCUUGGUUGGAACCCAUUUUCUUUCAGUGUUUGAAAUAUGUUAUUCCAGGAUCUUCUAGCUUUCAGAGUCUGUGUUGAAAGAUCAGCUGUUAUCCUGAUUGGCUUACCCCUAAAUGUAAUCUGCUUCCUUUCUCUUGUAGCUUUUAAAAUUCUCUCCUUAUUCUGUAUGUUGGGCAUCUUCAUUAUAAUGUGUCUAGGUGUGGAUCUCUUAUGAUUUUGCACAUUCGGCGUCCUGUAGGCUUCUAGGAUUUGGGAUUCUGUCUCAUUCUUCAAGUCUGGGAAGUUUUCUCGUAUUAUUUCAUUGAAUAGACUGCUCAUUCCUUUGGUUUGGAGCUCUGUACCUUCCUGUAUCCCAAUGACUCUUAAGUUUGGUCUCUUAAUGUUAUCCCAUAUUUCUUGGAUGUUCUGCUCAUGGUUUCUUAACAGUCUUGCUGAGCUGUCUAUGUUCUUUUCCAGUUGAAAUACUUUGUCUUCAUUGUCUGAUGUUCUAUCUUCUAAGUGUUCUACUCUGCUGGUAGUAUUCUCCAUUGAGUUUUUAAGUUGGUUUAUUGCUUCCUGCAUUUCUAGGAUUUCUGUUUGUUUGUUUUUUAUAACCUCUAUCUCCCUGUAUAGUUGAUCCUUUGCUUCCUGGAUUUGUUUGCGUAAUUCAUUGUCGAAGUGAUCUUUCAUUGUCUGAUUUUGCUGUUUAAUGUCUUCCUUGAUACUCCAGAUCAUCUGAAGCAUGUAUAUCCUGAAUUCUUUAUCUGACAUUCCAUCUGCUGCAGCUGUUACCUCUUCUAAAGUUGCGUUGACCUGCAUUGCUUGUGGUCCUUUCUUUCCUUGUCUUUUCAUACUGCUUGCGUAUCUUUCCUGCAGGCGCGGGCGGCGGCUCUGCUCUCUCCUUAUUCCAAUUGGGGUGUCGUGGCUACCACGCCGGCAGGUCACUGGGCCUGUUCUGGGCGCUGGCGGCGGCUCUGUUCUGC
Molecule: long non-coding RNA, 2307 nt
Filed under: Marmota monax (woodchuck)
Lineage: Eukaryota; Metazoa; Chordata; Mammalia; Rodentia; Sciuridae
Source: RNAcentral